Molecule: ribosomal RNA, 468 nt
Filed under: uncultured bacterium
Lineage: Bacteria
Description: partial 16S ribosomal RNA
Rfam family: Bacterial small subunit ribosomal RNA
Source: RNAcentral
GACGAACGCUGGCGGCGUGCUUAACACAUGCAAGUCGAACGGAAAGGCCCUGCUUUUGUGGGGUGCUCGAGUGGCGAACGGGUGAGUAACACGCGAGUAACCUGCCCUUGACUUUGGGAUAACUUCAGGAAACUGGGGCUAAUACCGGAUAGGAGCUCCUGCUGCAUGGUGGGGGUUGGAAAGUUUCGGCGGUUGGGGAUGGACUCGCGGCUUAUCAGCUUGUUGGUGGGGUAGUGGCUUACCAAGGCUUUGACGGGUAGCCGGCCUGAGAGGGUGACCGGCCACAUUGGGACUGAGAUACGGGCCAGAAGCCUACGGGAGGCAGCAGUGGGGAAUAUUGCACAAUGGGCGGAAGCCUGAUGCAGCAACGCCGCGUGCGGGAUGACGGCCUUCGGGUUGUAAACCGCUUUCGCCUGUGACGAAGCGUGAGUGACGGUAAUGGGUAAAGAAGCACCGGCUAACUACGUG